CCUACGGGAGGCUGCAGUGGGGAAUAUUGGGCAAUGGGCGCAAGCCUGACCCAGCAACGCCGCGUGAAGGAAGAAGGCUUUCGGGUUGUAAACUUCUUUUCUCAGGGACGAAGCAAGUGACGGUACCUGCGGAAUAAGCCACGGCUAACUACGUGCCAGCAGCCGCGGUAAUACGUAGGUGGCAAGCGUUAUGCGGAUUUAAUGGGUGUAAAGGGCGUGUAGGCGGGAAAGCAAGUCAGAUGUGAAAACCAUGGGCUCAACCUGUGGCCUGCAUUUGAAACUGUUUUUCUUGAGUACUGGAGAGGCAGACGGAAUUCCUGGUGUAGCGGUGAAAUGCGUAGAUAUUAGGAGGAACACCAGUGGCGAAGGCGGUCUGCUGGACAGCAACUGACGCUGAGGCGCGAAAGCGUGGGGAGCAAACAGGAUUAGAUACCCUUGUAGUC
RNAcentral lists this ribosomal RNA (443 nucleotides) under uncultured bacterium. Its description in RNAcentral is "partial 16S ribosomal RNA". It matches the Rfam family "Bacterial small subunit ribosomal RNA", at positions 338 to 795 of the family's 1533-position model. The record is from RNAcentral.